Long non-coding RNA from Cyprinus carpio (common carp), 1130 nucleotides. NCBI's taxonomy places the organism in Eukaryota, Metazoa, Chordata, Actinopteri, Cypriniformes, Cyprinidae. The record is from Ensembl.
GGCCUAUCAACAUGAUUAAUACAUGAAGAGUUCAGAUGGAAAAGCCUCUAAGUGCCAUCUGAAAUUUUCUUCUAGAAUGAUCAUUUUUAUCAAGCUUGUUCAAUAAUUUCAGUUCAAUGACAAUGCAAAUGAUCUAUUAAUUGUCAUUUAUAUGAAAGUACUUAACUAUACAGGCUUUAUAAAAAUGAUCAUUCUAGAAGAAUUUCAGGCCAGGUCCAGACAUGAUCAAAGAGGUCAGCGCAGUGAUCUCUGCAGCCCCCCCAUGACAGGCAUGGUGAGUUGUCGCCUGCGUUCGCACUGCGCUCAAUUAGGAUUAUUUUGCUAUUCAGGUGGAGAUCCUAUCACCCUGGCUGCCUGUUACGCAGUGCACACAUUGCUUUGAUGAAAAUUGCGGCCUUAUUAAUUGUAAAAAAAAAAAAAAACUUUAAAUAACUUGAUUUCUUGUUCAAAGUUUGCAGUUAGGCAAGUUUUCUAGUUGUACCUCUAAUCAUUAUAAUAUUGCAGAUUUAAUACUGAUCUUCUAAUAAAUCUGUUAAGUUGUCAAACAGAUUUUUUUGUGGUGCAGAUGCAGUGACAGAGGGGGAGAUUGCCAUGGGGUGGUAAGUACUGAUAUAUUGGCAGUGGAUAAGACCCUUUUAAUAGUACCACCUUCUCUCCCUGCACUGUUCUCUCUCUGGCUUGGUUUCUUUCAUGUCAAUUGAUUACAUUUCUUUGGACUUUUGUUUCUUUCUCCAACACUGCUGUACUAAUAACAAACACUGAAGCUGAUUAUAAAAACAACUGUGAGCUAGCUAAGCUUGCUAUUCUAAUUGGGGCAUUGUAAUCAACAAAUGUGUUUUAUUUCAGUGUUCCAGAAAAAGGUCCUGAGCCUACUGGUCGACAUCCGCCAUCGCCUGAAGGAAACGCAGCCUGCCUCUUCAGCUGUCCAUAUAGAGAGGACUGACACCAUGGAGGACUCUGAGAUACAGGAGCAACGCCUCUCUGAUGCACAGGCCUUUGAUAUCCUGGUGCUGCACAUUUCAAGAAUUGGUGGGCGAAACACCAAGGACUGUGUCCACAAAGUGUUGGACAGGUAUCUACUUCAUGUUUUGCAUGUCCUCAUUUGCCUUCAUUUAAUUUACCUAUUCUGA